RNAcentral lists this ribosomal RNA (594 nucleotides) under uncultured bacterium. RNAcentral's name for it is "bacterial SSU rRNA". The stretch from base 1 to 507 matches the Rfam family "Bacterial small subunit ribosomal RNA", at positions 338 to 1533 of the family's 1533-position model. The record is from RNAcentral.
CCUACGGGAGGCAGCAGUGGGGAAUUUUGGACAAUGGGCGAAAGCCUGAUCCAGCAAUGCCGCGUGCAGGAAGAAGGCCUUCGGGUUGUAAACUGCUUUUGUACGGAACGAAAAGGUCUGCCCUAAUACGGCGGGCUCAUGACGGUACCGUAAGAAUAAGCACCGGCUAACUACGUGCCAGCAGCCGCGGUAAUACGUAGGGUGCGAGCGUUAAUCGGAAUUACUGGGCGUAAAGCGUGCGCAGGCGGUUAUAUAAGACAGUUGUGAAAUCCCCGGGCUCAACCUGGGAAUUGCAUCUGUGACUGUAUAGCUAGAGUACGGUAGAGGGGGAUGGAAUUCCGCGUGUAGCAGUGAAAUGCGUAGAUAUGCGGAGGAACACCGAUGGCGAAGGCAAUCCCCUGGACCUGUACUGACGCUCAUGCACGAAAGCGUGGGGAGCAAACAGGAUUAGAUACCCUGGUAGUCCACGCCCUAAACGAUGUCAUGUUGUGGUNNAUAUACUCAGUAGAGACACGCGNGAGUGACGCGNGGAGACGCGCGAGUAGAACGUAGAGAGUAGAGNGNGAGAGNGCGAGACGACGACGAGGGAGGAGG